Molecule: ribosomal RNA, 417 nt
Filed under: uncultured bacterium
Lineage: Bacteria
Description: partial 16S ribosomal RNA
Rfam family: Bacterial small subunit ribosomal RNA
Source: RNAcentral
UGGGGAAUAUUGCACAAUGGGCGCAAGCCUGAUGCAGCCAUGCCGCGUGUGUGAAGAAGGCCUUCGGGUUGUAAAGCACUUUCAGCGAGGAGGAAGGCAUUAAGGUUAAUAACCUUAGUGAUUGACGUUACUCGCAGAAGAAGCACCGGCUAACUCCGUGCCAGCAGCCGCGGUAAUACGGAGGGUGCAAGCGUUAAUCGGAAUUACUGGGCGUAAAGCGCACGCAGGCGGUUUGUUAAGUCAGAUGUGAAAUCCCCGAGCUUAACUUGGGAACUGCAUUUGAAACUGGCAAGCUAGAGUCUUGUAGAGGGGGGUAGAAUUCCAGGUGUAGCGGUGAAAUGCGUAGAGAUCUGGAGGAAUACCGGUGGCGAAGGCGGCCCCCUGGACAAAGACUGACGCUCAGGUGCGAAAGCGUGG